UAUGGUUAAAGGAAAAAGGAAGUUUAUUUCAUCUUAUGUCAAUGAAUAUGACCACAAAUUAGCAGAUGAUAACACAGCACACAAGAAACAGCAGGGAAGAGCAGGACAAGGACAGAACACACGUCCAAUCUUAUAUGAUGGAACGGUCCAGCACCCAAAACUUUAGAUAUUUAAUUAUUUCUUUGUUGUGCAUUUACAAUACACUCCGUCAUUGAUUAACAAAAAUAAUCAAUUGUAAUGACCAUGAGCACCCUCUCCUGCUCUUCUACACUUGUUCCCAUCUACCACACUCUUCUUCAUCAGACUUAAUGCCCUCACAUUGAACUUCUCAUUAGAUUCCACUCAACACCUUGGGAUAAUGAGGUAUUGUGAUGAUCGCUGUGAAUCCCAGCUAAGCUCGUCUUUCCAUAGGAUAUGUGCAGCAACCUUUUGUCUAGUCCCACUUUAGGUCCCUUAUCUCAUCUAUUUUUCUAGUAACUGGUAACUAUUGUCCCAGGUUCCUGCUCUUCCCCAAACCAAAAAAACAAAUAAAUCUUUGCUGCCUUAUAAAUUCCUGCUUUAUGCUGGAGAAACAAAGGACUGCAGAUGCUGAGUUCCUCCAGCAUCAUGUUUUUCAUCCUGCUUUAUGCUCAUCUGACUUUUUUCUUCCUCAAUUUCCUUCUGCCCAUUUCUAGAAAUGGGGAUAGAAUAUUGACCAAUAUCCACCAUAAGCCCAUUGCAAUCAACUCCUAUUGUUACCAUGACUACACAUCCUUCCACUUUACUUCCUAGAUUCUAUUUCACCAAUUUCCCAAUCUUUAUAAUUUGAUUAUGCCAGUUUCUGUAACUGGCAUUUCUAGUUCCUUUUUCCUCUGCCAAGGAUUCCUUUCCACUUUGGCUGACUGUGCUCUCAAGUUUGUACAAUUUCCCCACAGUUCUGCCUCACCGCUUAUGCUUUCUUCCAGACACUUGAUGGACUGAACCUUGUCCUCACCAGCAAUCAUGUUUAACAAUUAAACUCUGACACAUCCAGUACAAUACCAAAAUAUCUUCCCCUCCCAGCAUUCCAAAGAGGCCAUUCACUCCGUAACCACUCUUCAAUUACCCUUGCAUUCUCUCAAUUUUCAAAGCAGCACAGGAGGUGUAACACAUAUCCUUUCAAUGCCUCCCCAUUGUCCAGGAUCCCAAUCAUACCUAUUAGAGAGAGUGACUUGUACUUGGCUCAAUUUAGUACACUAUGGUUGUUGAUCACAACUUAGUCUCCUCGAGACUGGGGUACCAAACUCACAGAUGACCACUUUGUAUGACAACUCCAGUCAGUUAACAUCACCCCAAGCUUCAGUUUGCCUAUAAUUUUAAUUCUUCACCCUAUGUUCAUACUGGUUCCUGUUCUCAUUUUCUUUCAAUGAAGCUCAAAGAACAGUACAUCAUCUUUCAAUCAGGUCCUCUGACACUUCCCAUAUUAAUGACUUGGAUGUGAGUGUAGGAGUUUACAGAUGACACGGAAAUUGGUGGUGUUGUAGAUAGCAAGGGAUAUAGUCCAAGGCUAUAGCAGGAAGUAGAUCAGAUGGAAAAGUGGGCAGAGUAUUGCAGAUUAAAUUUAAUCCCGAUAAGUGAGAGGUGAUAUAUUUUAGCAAGUCAAAUGGGAGUAGGGUAUAUACAGUAAACAGAAGGGCACUAAGGAAUGUCCAUGAACAGAGCGACCUUGGGGUUCAAGUCCAUAGUUCCCUGAAAGUGGCAACACAGGUAGACAGGGUGGUGAAGGUGGCAUAUGGCAAAUUUGCCUUCAAAAGCCAGGGCACAGAAAUAAAAGUUGGGACAUUAUACUGCAACUUCACAAAACAUUGGUUAAAAUUGCACUUGGAAUAUUCUGUGCUGUUCUGGUUACCACACUAUAGCAAGAUGUGAUUAUGCUGGAGAGAGUGCAGAGGAGAUUCACCAAAAUGUUGCCUGGAUUGGAGGAGCUUAGUUAUGAGAAGAGAUUGGAUAGGCUGGGUUUUGAUGACUCUGUUACUUAUUUUCUCCUUUAAUACUGAGUUACUUGACUUGACCCAUUAUUAUCCUCUCUUACAACAUCAUCCUUCAUAAUUAAGUCACUCCUGCCUUCCACCCUACUACAGAUGUUCCUUUCUCUGCACUUUUGUUCUUGUCUAAAAUCAGUCACAUCCCUAACUUUUACCAGUUCUGAUGAAGUUAACUUUGUCUCCCUCUGCAGAUGCUAGCUGAUCUGCUAGUACUUCUAACAUUUUCUGCUUUCAUACCAGAUUUCCAGCAUUCAUAGUAUAUUAAACAAAUUGUGAUUUCUUGCAGAUGAUGCCCUCAUCUUUAUCCUCCAGGCUAUGUAUUGUUAAUCAGUAUUUGACCAAAGAAACGAUACACAAGGUCUCUGCCAAAUCCAUUCUUGGAGAGCAAUUACUAUCCCCGAGACCAAGAGGACAGAUGGACCAAUACUCAUCAACUGAAAUGCCAGCACAUGUGCUAAACUUAACAGAGGUGACAACUAUUUACAGGACCUGGAUGUAAUUCUGCAUCAACUGGAAGCUAAAUGAUAUCCAACAUCUACAAUUUUUCUUUUGAUUUUCACCUUCGAACAAGAAAUAUCAACUUUACAUGUCUGCAGUGAGUCAUCUGUAUUUAUGACGACAGUUAAGCAAUUUUGACCCAGCUGGGAAGGUUGACGGUAUUUUUGCACAGAAUAGUGCA
Pristis pectinata (smalltooth sawfish) is the source of this 2682-nucleotide long non-coding RNA. RefSeq lists it as uncharacterized. The transcript has 3 exons. The record is from RefSeq and is a predicted model, not a curated record. Lineage: Eukaryota; Metazoa; Chordata; Chondrichthyes; Rhinopristiformes; Pristidae.